Molecule: ribosomal RNA, 446 nt
Filed under: uncultured bacterium
Lineage: Bacteria
Description: partial 16S ribosomal RNA
Rfam family: Bacterial small subunit ribosomal RNA
Source: RNAcentral
CCUACGGGGGGCUGCAGUCGAGAAUCAUUCACAAUGGGGGAAACCCUGAUGGUGCGACGCCGCGUGGGGGAAUGAAGGUCUUCGGAUUGUAAACCCCUGUCAUGUGGGAGCAAAUUAAAAAGAUAGUACCACAAGAGGAAGAGACGGCUAACUCUGUGCCAGCAGCCGCGGUAAUACAGAGGUCUCAAGCGUUGUUCGGAAUCACUGGGCGUAAAGCGUGCGUAGGCUGUUUCGUAGGUCGUGUGUGAAAGGCGCGGGCUCAACCCGCGGACGGCACAUGAUACUGCGAGACUAGAGUAAGGGAGGGGGAACCGGAAUUCUCGGUGUAGCAGUGAAAUGCGUAGAUAUCGAGAGGAACACUCGUGGCGAAGGCGGGUUCCUGGACAUUAACUGACGCUGAGGCACGAAGGCCAGGGGAGCGAAAGGGAUUAGAUACCCUUGUAGUC